GCUUCAUUCAAAUAUCUGCCCUAUCAACUUUCGAUGGUAGGAUAGUGGCCUACCAUGGUUUUAACGGGUAACGGGGAAUAAGGGUUCGAUUCCGGAGAGGGAGCCUGAGAAACGGCUACCACAUCCAAGGAAGGCAGCAGGCGCGCAAAUUACCCAAUCCCGACCGGGGAGGUAGUGACAAUAAAUAACAAUAUAGGGCUCUUUUGGGUCCUAUAAUUGGAAUGAGUACAAUUUAAAUCUCUUAACGAGAAACAAUUGGAGGGCAAGUCUGGUGCCAGCAGCCGCGGUAAUUCCAGCUCCAAUAGCGUAUAUUAAAGUUGUUGCAGUUAAAAAGCUCGUAGUUG
This 344-nucleotide ribosomal RNA is filed under the name uncultured fungus. Its description in RNAcentral is "SSU rRNA". It matches the Rfam family "Eukaryotic small subunit ribosomal RNA", at positions 292 to 636 of the family's 1831-position model. The record is from RNAcentral. Lineage: Eukaryota; Fungi.